RNAcentral lists this ribosomal RNA (127 nucleotides) under uncultured bacterium. RNAcentral's name for it is "partial 16S ribosomal RNA". The record is from RNAcentral.
CGUCAAUGUUCAGCCUUAUUAAGACUAAAACCCUUCUUCACAAUUGAAAGUGCUUUACAACCCUCAGGCCUUCUUCACACACGCGGCAUUGCUGGAUCAGGCUUGCGCCCAUUGUCCAAUAUUCCCC